This is a long non-coding RNA of Zalophus californianus (California sea lion), 954 nucleotides long. RefSeq lists it as uncharacterized. Lineage: Eukaryota; Metazoa; Chordata; Mammalia; Carnivora; Otariidae. The record is from RefSeq and is a predicted model, not a curated record. The transcript is spliced from 2 exons.
CGCCCCGUGGCCCUGGGGGCUGCACAGCUCUGAAGAGAAGCCCAUGGUGCCGUCCUGGGGACAGAGACAGGGCAGCCCGGCGCUGGCCCACCGCUCCCCCAGGGAGGCCCUAGAACUCCGCGGGAGACGGCCUUUGGAGUCCUGACUUGGGCCCACCUAGAGGCAAGCGGGACAUCAACUGGCCCCAAUCCCCGCCCCCAUCCCGGAUGCAGUCCCAGGGUCCCAGGAAGAACAACAUCACCACACUGGAGACCAGGCCUGGUUUGCAUAGUCUGCACGUUUAAUCACUUUAAAACCUCUAACAUUAUCUCGUGUCCAUUAAAUAGAACCAACAAUGCUGGGCCUGUUUAAAUUACAAGGAAAAAAAAAAUCACUGGGCACCAACCCAGUAUCUUACAAAAUCAGCCAGGCUGGCCACAAGGGUGGGGGGAUGGGAGAGGAGGAGACACCCCUAGGCAGGUGGCUGGGUGCCAGGAAGGGCUGGGGGAGAGAAAGAAAAGAGGGCUCCCAGAUGGGGGGGGUACUGAUUGUCCUAAUGGGAGGGGUGCGAAAGGCACGUCAGAAGAGGGGGACUUAAGGGGGCAGAACAGGUCAGUGCUUUCUCCACAAGGGCACAGUGUUGGAGGGGGCUCGGUGCCACCACCUGCCCGCCCCUGGCACUUGGAGAACCAGUGACCCAUGAGCCCUUGGCACGAUGCGCCCCAUCUGAAACACGGGUGACAGCCUGCCCCUCCCACCACGAUCCCCUUUCCUAGGGCCCACCUGGCUUGCCCGCCUGCCUCUUCAGGACUUGGGGCUCAGCUCCUCCUCACUCCUCAGCAACAUGCUGCAGCCCCCCACACCUCAGGGCCAGCGUAGCUGGGGGAACAGCAGAGUGGACAGUGGGUGUGGGAAGGUGGGUGGUCCAGCUGCUACCCCCAUUACAAAUACAAAAAAAAAAAAAAAACCCCAAAA